RNAcentral lists this long non-coding RNA (995 nucleotides) under Olea europaea subsp. europaea. The record is from RNAcentral. Lineage: Eukaryota; Viridiplantae; Streptophyta; Magnoliopsida; Lamiales; Oleaceae.
CUAUAGGUACCAACUCUAUAUCAUAAGUCAAUCUGGACAGGUGUAGCAUGUUUUCAUACCAAGUCCUAUAAUUCUACCUGGCAAGCAAUUUCUGUUCAGAGAUGUUUUAUUUGCCACCUCUCCCUACUAUUUUCGCUUCCGUUAGCAAAAGGAAAGUAUAUCAUUAGCCAUAAUGUUGUGCUUAUACAAUAAUUUUUUUAAUUUGGGAGAAAAGAAUGAUAGAUUCAAAAAGAUGAGAGCUAGUCAAACUAUGCUGCACAUAACGAGUAUAAAAGGCUUUGCCCACUUAGAAGCCCGAAAUGGUAAAAUUUAUGUUAAAUUAUGAGUUAAAUUUGCUUGAAAUUUUGUCAAUGUGUACAAAUUAUCAUAUAUAGGAAAUGGGUAAAACAAAUUGCAGCGUGUUGAAAGUGAAGACCCUGAUUCUAUUACAAGAGAUGAUAUUUAUAUUCGAGGACAUAUGCGAAAAAUGGUGAAUCAAUUAAUAAAUUAGUUGGGGAAAAACAUUGGUAACAAUAUUGGUUUUUGAAUUUCUUUACUGGAGUAAAGGAGUUAAGAGAUGAAAUUAAAGAAUUAAAAAUUUUGUUUCAACAAAAGAGUAAAAGUGUUGAACAAGAAAAUGUAAGUGCGAAACUAUCGUUACUGAAUAAUAUUCUAUAUUUCAUACUCUUUUCUAUAUUCAAAUUAACAAAUUGUACUUUCAUAUGAAUAUCACAGCAUAGUGAUAGAAGCUCGAAUGGUUUAGAUAACUGUCAAAGUAAGAAAUGUAAAUUGUUACAUUGGUUUGGGGAAGCUCAUGUAGUUGCAAAUGGUGAAAUCGCAGAAACAAAUCCUUGUGAUUUAGUGCAUCAUGUACCCCUUGGCGAUGAAUGUUGGAGAGUUAGGUUAAUGAAGUGAUUGACAAUGUUACCUUGUAUCAUUCCACACAUGAGCGAUUUCUUCUUGAAGAUGCAUAACGAAGUACAAUUGCAUGGCCAAUCAAGUUCAUCAAAAUGGAU